CUGCGGCAGCGAACGUAUCACCCAAGACAACUUUACGGAGUUGACGAUUGACGGAGCGAAGCGACGUCAAAGCGUUCAUUAAAGUCGAGUUGGCUUAGGGAUACGUUCGUUGGGUAGGGGAGCGUUCUGUAAGCCUGUGAAGGUGUGUCGUGAGGCAUGCUGGAGGUAUCAGAAGUGCGAAUGCUGACAUAAGUAACGAUAAAGCGGGUGAAAAGCCCGCUCGCCGGAAGACCAAGGGUUCCUGUCCAACGUUAAUCGGGGCAGGGUGAGUCGACCCCUAAGGCGAGGCCGAAAGGCGUAGUCGAUGGGAAACGGGUUAAUAUUCCCGUACUUGGUGUUACUGCGAAGGGGGGACGGAGAAGGCUAUGUUGGCCGGGCGACGGUUGUCCCGGUUUAAGCGUGUAGGUGUGUGUUCCAGGUAAAUCCGGUUCACUUUAACACUGAGGCGUGACGACGAGGCACUACGGUGCUGAAGCAACAAAUGCCCUGCUUCCAGGAAAAGCCUCUAAGCAUCAGGUAACACGAAAUCGUACCCCAAACCGACACAGGUGGUCAGGUAGAGAAUACCAAGGCGCUUGAGAGAACUCGGGUGAAGGAACUAGGCAAAAUGGUGCCGUAACUUCGGGAGAAGGCACGCUGACACGUAGGUGAAGUGAUUUACUCAUGGAGCUGAAGUCAGUCGAAGAUACCAGCUGGCUGCAACUGUUUAUUAAAAACACAGCACUGUGCAAACACGAAAGUGGACGUAUACGGUGUGACGCCUGCCCGGUGCCGGAAGGUUAAUUGAUGGGGUCAGCGCAAGCGAAGCUCCUGAUCGAAGCCCCGGUAAACGGCGGCCGUAACUAUAACGGUCCUAAGGUAGCGAAAUUCCUUGUCGGGUAAGUUCCGACCUGCACGAAUGGCGUAAUGAUGGCCAGGCUGUCUCCACCCGAGACUCAGUGAAAUUGAACUCGCUGUGAAGAUGCAGUGUACCCGCGGCAAGACGGAAAGACCCCGUGAACCUUUACUAUAGCUUGACACUGAACAUUGAGCCUUGAUGUGUAGGAUAGGUGGGAGGCUUUGAAGUGUGGACGCCAGUCUGCAUGGAGCCGACCUUGAAAUACCACCCUUUAAUGUUUGAUGUUCUAACGUGGACCCGUAAUCCGGGUUGCGGACAGUGUCUGGUGGGUAGUUUGACUGGGGCGGUCUCCUCCUAAAGAGUAACGGAGGAGCACGAAGGUUGGCUAAUCCUGGUCGGACAUCAGGAGGUUAGUGCAAUGGCAUAAGCCAGCUUGACUGCGAGCGUGACGGCGCGAGCAGGUGCGAAAGCAGGUCAUAGUGAUCCGGUGGUUCUGAAUGGAAGGGCCAUCGCUCAACGGAUAAAAGGUACUCCGGGGAUAACAGGCUGAUACCGCCCAAGAGUUCAUAUCGACGGCGGUGUUUGGCACCUCGAUGUCGGCUCAUCACAUCCUGGGGCUGAAGUAGGUCCCAAGGGUAUGGCUGUUCGCCAUUUAAAGUGGUACGCGAGCUGGGUUUAGAACGUCGUGAGACAGUUCGGUCCCUAUCUGCCGUGGGCGCUGGAGAACUGAGGGGGGCUGCUCCUAGUACGAGAGGACCGGAGUGGACGCAUCACUGGUGUUCGGGUUGUCAUGCCAAUGGCACUGCCCGGUAGCUAAAUGCGGAAGAGAUAAGUGCUGAAAGCAUCUAAGCACGAAACUUGCCCCGAGAUGA
Molecule: ribosomal RNA, 1710 nt
Filed under: Salmonella enterica
Lineage: Bacteria; Pseudomonadati; Pseudomonadota; Gammaproteobacteria; Enterobacterales; Enterobacteriaceae
Description: partial 23S ribosomal RNA
Rfam family: Bacterial large subunit ribosomal RNA
Source: RNAcentral